This 465-nucleotide ribosomal RNA is filed under the name Vreelandella stevensii. RNAcentral's name for it is "partial 16S ribosomal RNA". It matches the Rfam family "Bacterial small subunit ribosomal RNA", at positions 338 to 795 of the family's 1533-position model. Lineage: Bacteria; Pseudomonadati; Pseudomonadota; Gammaproteobacteria; Oceanospirillales; Halomonadaceae. The record is from RNAcentral.
CCUACGGGAGGCAGCAGUGGGGAAUAUUGGACAAUGGGGGGAACCCUGAUCCAGCCAUGCCGCGUGUGUGAAGAAGGCCCUCGGGUUGUAAAGCACUUUCAGUGAGGAAGAACGCCUGGUGGUUAAUACCCAUCAGGAAAGACAUCACUCACAGAACAAGCACCGGCUAACUCCGUGCCAGCAGCCGCGGUAAUACGGAGGGUGCGAGCGUUAAUCGGAAUUACUGGGCGUAAAGCGCGCGUAGGUGGCUUGAUAAGCCGGUUGUGAAAGCCCCGGGCUCAACCUGGGAACGGCAUCCGGAACUGUCAAGCUAGAGUGCAGGAGAGGAAGGUAGAAUUCCCGGUGUAGCGGUGAAAUGCGUAGAGAUCGGGAGGAAUACCAGUGGCGAAGGCGGCCUUCUGGACUGACACUGACACUGAGGUGCGAAAGCGUGGGUAGCAAACAGGAUUAGAUACCCUAGUAGUC